RNAcentral lists this ribosomal RNA (253 nucleotides) under uncultured bacterium. Its description in RNAcentral is "partial 16S ribosomal RNA". It matches the Rfam family "Bacterial small subunit ribosomal RNA", at positions 524 to 776 of the family's 1533-position model. The record is from RNAcentral.
UACAGAGGUGGCAAGCGUUGUUCGGAAUUACUGGGCGUAAAGGGCGCGUAGGCGGCCUUCUAAGUCAGACGUGAAAUCCCCCGGCUUAACCUGGGAACUGCGUCUGAUACUGGGAGGCUUGAGUAUGGGAGAGGGAUGUAGAAUUCCAGGUGUAGCGGUGAAAUGCGUAGAUAUCCGGAGGAAUACCGGUGGCGAAGGCGGCAUCCUGGACCAUUACUGACGCUGAGGCGCGAAAGCUAGGGGAGCAAACGGG